GGAAAAUAAGAAUUUUUAUUAAGAAUAAAAAUAUAAGAAUAAAACAUAUGCAGUUGAUAGUUGUGGUUAUUAAUAGGUAUGAUAUAGUAUCAUAUACCCAGGUGAGACGGAAAUAAAAACAACAUUUCUUUUAGGCUACAAGAAAGAUUUACACUUGGCUAGUCUGCAUCCAUGGGUUCUGCAAUCACAGAUUCAACCAAAUGUGAAUUGAAAAUACUUGGGGAAAAAAAAGAUGGUUGCAUCUAUACUGAACAUGUACAGGCCUUUUUUCUUGUCAUUAUUCCCUAAACUAUACAAUAUAACAACUAUUUACAUAGCAUUUACAUUAUAUUAGGUAUUAUAAGUAAUCUAAGAAUGGUUUAAAGAAUAUGGGAAGAUGUGUGUAGGUCAUAUGCAAAUACUAUGCCAUUUUAUAUAAGGGACUUGAGCAUCUGUAAAUUUUAGUCUCUGCAGGGGUCCUGGAACAAAUCCCCCAUGGAUACCAAGGGACAACUGUGUUUAGAAAGAUUCAAAUUCACUGUAUUUUGAUCAGGCAGCAGAGACAGUAUGAAAAUAUUUAUAAUACUAUCUUCAUCCAUUCACUAAACAAAUAUUUACUGAAUGGCUACUAGGUGGCAGUCAUUAUGCUUGGUGCUGAAGAUACAGCAAUGAAUUAGCCCCUAUUCUAACUAGAUCUUAACAGUAGAAUUCACAUUCAUAAUUGUUAAUAUAUAUAGAGGGCUCGGAUAUCUCUGUCUAUUUAGGUGGUGAAAACAGAAAAGACAAAAGUAAGUUUUUCCAGGCAGUCCGUCAAAAGACAGACUUCACGAUUGUAAGCAACUUGAGGACAGAGCCCAUAUCUGUCUUGCUCACUAUAUUCUAAGGGUCUACUGCAGUGCAUGGCACAUUACAGACAGUUAAAGAUCUUUUGAAUUAAUAAUGAACAGUCGUAAAAGGGACAUUUUGAAAAUGGGGGCUGGUAUUUCCUACCUACUAAGAGUUUCACUUGAUUUGCUUCCUUCAGUGGAGUCCCUCAACGAGUUGUUGCUUCUGUUGGUAGAGGGAUGGGAGAAAUCACAGUUUAAAUAAUGUUAUUUCCUUACCAAUAUAACAAAAGUUUGUGAGAAAAAUAAUGUAUUCUUAUGUAGGGUGAAAUGGUAUCAUCUGACAGCUGGAUAAAUAAAUCAUAAACAUUAACUUAAUGAUAAAAUUGCUUCUCUCAACAUUACUUUUAGAUAGAUAUGGAUUCAAAAGAGUGAGAAUGGGGCAUUGGCUCUUCCAGGUGGAGGAAACAGAAUGGAGAAAAAGCUUGAAGACAAAAAUAAAUGAACUUUUGGGAAUCAGGAGGAGUCUGGUUUGAUUAGAGGAUAAUACAGGAGUGAAAGCAGAGUGGUCACAAGAGAGAUUCGUGUGACCACUCUGGGAGAUUCUUCAAUGUCAGACUGAGGGACAUGUACUUAAUGCAGUAGGCAGUGAGGAGCUACUGAAGAUUUUCAAGUAAUAGCUAUAGUGUCUUAAAGUACGAUAAAUAAUGAAUUAACAUUAGCCUUUUUUCUUUUUUGGCUAAAGUCAAUUUUUGAAAGCUGUCUUUGAUUAUGGUCUUAUUUGGAGUUAUGGAUUUCAUUUCUUUGUGCUUUUAAAAUUUUUCAUUUAAGAAUUCAGCUAUUCAAUUAUUGAUGAAAAUAGGAUGGUUUUCAGUAAGGUGCUUAUAGUCCUAAAUUGAAGUUUUUACAGUUUCCUUCUGAAUCAUCCUUUUCUCAAAAGUUAUGUAAGCCAUUGUAAAUAUGUGUAAAUGUAGAAAAAGUCUUCCAUUUUUGAUAUGGCAUACCAUAAUAAUAGCUUCAUAUGGA
RNAcentral lists this long non-coding RNA (1829 nucleotides) under Homo sapiens (human). RNAcentral's name for it is "HSALNT0073918". The record is from RNAcentral. Lineage: Eukaryota; Metazoa; Chordata; Mammalia; Primates; Hominidae.